AGCAUAUCAAUAAGCGGAGGAAAAGAAACCAACAGGGAUUGCCCUAGUAACGGCGAGUGAAGCGGCAACAGCUCAAAUUUGAAAUCUGGCUUCGGCCCGAGUUGUAAUUUGCAGAGGAAGCUUCUGGCGCGGCGCCGUCCGAGUCCCCUGGAACGGGGCGCCAUAGAGGGUGAGAGCCCCGUAUGGAUGGAUGCCUAGCCUGUGUGAAGCUCCUUCGACGAGUCGAGUAGUUUGGGAAUGCUGCUCAAAAUGGGAGGUAAAUUCCUUCUAAAGCUAAAUAUUGGCCAGAGACCGAUAGCGCACAAGUAGAGUGAUCGAAAGAUGAAAAGCACUUUGAAAAGAGGGUUAAAUAGCACGUGAAAUUGUUGAAAGGGAAGCGCUUAUGACCAGACUUGCGCCAGGCUGAUCAUCCGGUGUUCUCACCGGUGCACUCUGCCUGGCUCAGGCCAGCAUCGGUUUCAGCGGGGGGAUAAAGGCCUAGGGAACGUAGCUCCUCCGGGAGUGUUAUAGCCCUGGGUGCAAUGCUCCCGCCGGGACCGAGGUUCGCGCAUCUGCAAGGAUGCUGACGUAAUGGUCAUCAGCGACCCGUCU
RNAcentral lists this ribosomal RNA (591 nucleotides) under uncultured fungus. RNAcentral's name for it is "eukaryotic LSU rRNA". It matches the Rfam family "Eukaryotic large subunit ribosomal RNA", at positions 37 to 654 of the family's 3401-position model. Lineage: Eukaryota; Fungi. The record is from RNAcentral.